GAUGAACGCUAGCGGCAGGCCUAAUACAUGCAAGUCGAACGGGAUCUGAGGGUAGCUUGCUACCCGAUUUGAGAGUGGCGCACGGGUGCGUAACGCGUGAGCAACCUACCCAUAUCAGGGGGAUAGCCCGAAGAAAUUCGGAUUAACACCGCAUAAUAAUACGCUAACACAUGUUGAUGUAUUUAAAUAUUUAUAGGAUAUGGAUGGGCUCGUGUGACAUUAGCUAGUUGGUAAGGUAACGGCUUACCAAGGCGACGAUGUCUAGGGGCUCUGAAAGGAGAAUCCCCCACACUGGAACUGAGACACGGACCAGACUCCUACGGGAGGCAGCAGUAAGGAAUAUUGGUCAAUGGGCGCAAGCCUGAACCAGCCAUGCCGCGUGCAGGAUGACUGCCCUAUGGGUUGUAAACUGCCUUUGUUAGGGAAUAAACCUUCUUACGUGUAAGGAGCUGAAUGUACCUAAAGAAUAAGGAUCGGCUAACUCCGUGCCAGCCGCCGCAGUAA
This 504-nucleotide ribosomal RNA is filed under the name uncultured bacterium. Its description in RNAcentral is "partial 16S ribosomal RNA". It matches the Rfam family "Bacterial small subunit ribosomal RNA", at positions 28 to 523 of the family's 1533-position model. The record is from RNAcentral.